This 1784-nucleotide long non-coding RNA is filed under the name Homo sapiens (human). Its description in RNAcentral is "non-protein coding lnc-CLRN2-1:2". Lineage: Eukaryota; Metazoa; Chordata; Mammalia; Primates; Hominidae. The record is from RNAcentral.
GGCUUAACAUCACACAUUUAUUUUCUCUGUUCUGGAGGCUGAAAGUCCAAGACUGAGGCUCCAGUCAAUUCCAUCUCUUGUGAGGGCUCUCUUCUCAGCUUGUGGACGGCAGCCUCCUUGCUGUGUCCUCACACAGACUUUCCUCAGUGCAUGCGUGUGGGAAGAAAGUGAGAGGGAGAACUCUGGUGUCUGUCCUCAUAAGAACACUAAUCCUGUUGAAUCAGUGCCCAUCCUCACGAACCCAUUUCAUCUUAGUUACUUCCUUAGAGGCCCCAUCUCCAAAUACAGCCACAUUAGAGUGAGGUCUUGAACAUACAAAUUUGGGGGAGACACCCACAUUCAGUUCAUAACACUACCAUUUCUGAAAUUGCAAUCCCAAUCUCCCCAACACUCCUUCACCCCCUUACCUUGCUCUCUUCCCCCCACAGUUCACCUUUCUCGUACUCUCCAAUGAAUUCAUAUUAUGAAUUCUAUUGUUUAUUAUCUGUCACCCUCUCCCCCAUCUAGAAUAAAACUCAAUGAUUAAGGGUAGGAGUCUUUGUCUACUUGUUCUUUAUGUGUCCCAGGCAUCUAGGUUAGUGCCUUGUACACAGUUGGUACUCAAGAUUAGCUGUUGAAUGAAUGAAGGAGAAAAAACAUCUCCUUCCUGGCCCCUUUUCCCUUUUCAUUCUCUUUGCACAUCACCAGGGAAGGAAAAGAAACACACCUCAAUAAUCAAUUAGUUUGAGGAGAGCUGGUAGUCUUCAUUCCAUUUAGAAACCAGAUCUGGUAUUCAAUAAUUAAAAAUAAUUAAUAAUUAAUAAGCAGCCCAAAUUUCCACCAACGGAUGAGUAGGUAAACACCAGAUUAAAAGACUUCCAAGCAGUCCAUGAUUCUAGCAUACUCAUCUAUGACUGCUGGAUAUGAGAUGUGAUUUGAUUAAAGAGACAGGCCAGGCACGGUGACUCACGCCUGUGAAUCCCAGCACUUUGGGAGGCCGAGGCAGGCGGAUCACGAGGUCAAGAGAUUGAGACCAUCCUGGCCAAAGUGGUGAAACCCCGUCUCUACUAAAAAUAUAAAAAUUAGCUGGGUGUAGUGGUGCACGCCUGUAGUCCCAGCUACUCGGGAGGCUGAGGCAGAAGAAUCGCUUGAACCAGGCAGGCGGAGGUUGCAGUGAGCCGACGUCAUGCCACCGCACUCCAGCCUGGGUGACAGAGCGAGACUCUGUCUCAAAAUAAAAAGGCAACACGAUAAAUGAAGUGCAUUUAUUAGGAUAAUCAACAGUUACCAGGUCCGGUUCUAAACGGAAUGAAAACUACCAGCUCUCCUGAAACUAACUGUACCCUCGUUAAGUCUCUUAGUGUGUGGAACUGUUUCUUCAUCUGAAAAUUGAAAACAACAAGACAUGCAAGGUACAGCAUGAGGUAAUGUGCUCAGGGUGCUUUCAACAGCUAGACUUGUAUACUAGUUCCAGCUGCGCAGCUCUCUAGCUAGGUGACUUUGAACAAGCAGUCCAACCUUCUGAGCUCCCAUUUUCUUUCCUGUAAUAGUUGGAUAAAAUCACCUCGUAGUGGCAAGAAUCAAGAGACUUCUCAAAAGUUAAACAUAGAGGCCAGGCGCAGUGGCUCACAGCUGUAAUUCUAAGCACUUUGGGAGGCCGAGGCAGGUGGAUCACUUGAGGUCUGGAGUUUGAAACCUGCCUGGCCAACAUGGUGAAACUCUGUCUCUUCCAUCUCUACUAAAAAUACAAAAAAAAAAAAAAAAAAUAGCCAGGUGUGGUGGCUAAUGCCUGUAAUGUGCCAGUU